RNAcentral lists this long non-coding RNA (718 nucleotides) under Linum usitatissimum (flax). RNAcentral's name for it is "long non-coding RNA (LUSI_LNC008183)". The record is from RNAcentral. Lineage: Eukaryota; Viridiplantae; Streptophyta; Magnoliopsida; Malpighiales; Linaceae.
UUUCAUCGUAUAUGGGCAAGAAAGGAAAAUUGGUACAAAAAGUUGAUAACUUAAGAAAAUACGCGAAUCUCCCCGCAACCCAACGAAACCACAAUAUUAUUAAUACUUUAAUUUUUUAUUAUUAUUUACAGAGACAAUCGAACCCAAAAAAAGAACACUACUGGGGAGGCAACGGCAGUAGCACACCAGUUGGGCAUUUACAAGUCCUAUCAUCCACGCACUCACAUGGUGGUUUACACACUUGAGGAUCACAUAUCCCCCCUUCGUCAUUCGAUGGCGAAUCGUCUUUGGGGCACAAGCAGAUUCCAUGGAAGCAAUGACAUGGUGUAUGGCAGGUCUUUCUGCAUAUUGGCACCAAUUCGUUGACCUCUCUUCCUUCUGCUUUAAUGUUCGACAUCUCAUCUACAAUCGAAUCGUCCAAUUAUAUUUACCAAACAUUAUUUUGAACCAUGUUUGACAAUAAUACAUACCCAAAUGAAAAAAAAACUAUGUACCUGCAACGAAAAUCAAGAGCACAACCAAGAGAAUCGGUUUUAUUGACGUCUUAUCCAUCUCGGUUUAGAUGUCUCUUUGGUGAAGAAAGAUUGAGCUGGGAAGUUGAGAGCUUUUGCACUAAAAGUUGUAAGUGUUUGAGCUGUGUGGGUAGACGGUUUUGGUUUGGUCAAUUUAUAUACUGUGGAUUGGGAUGGUGGAAGUGGUAAUGGGAGACAUUUGUUUA